This 77-nucleotide ribosomal RNA is filed under the name Pseudomonas sp. TH09. Lineage: Bacteria; Pseudomonadati; Pseudomonadota; Gammaproteobacteria; Pseudomonadales; Pseudomonadaceae. The record is from RNAcentral. RNAcentral also lists the same sequence under 11 other names.
CUUGACGACCAUAGAGCAUUGGAACCACCUGAUCCCAUCCCGAACUCAGCAGUGAAACGAUGCAUCGCCGAUGGUAG